AUUAAAAGUAUUUUCUGCUCAGUGUUUAUAAAUAGCUGCGGUAAUUUGACCGUGCAAAGGUAGCAUAAUCAUUUGCUUCAUAAUUGGGGGCUAGUAUGAAUGGAAAUAUGAAAAUUUUUCUUUCUUUUUAUUUUUUUAAAAAAUUGUAGUUAAUGUGAAGAUACAUUAUUUUUAAUAAAAGACAAGAAGACCCUUUUGAGCUUUUAUUUAGUUGGGGCGAUUAAAGAAGACUUCUUUUUAUUUUGACCCAAAGUUUUUUGGUUUUUAGAAUUAGUUACCAAAGGGAUAACAGCGUAAUUUUUUUUAAGAGUUCUUAUUAAAAAAAAAGAUUGCGACCUCGAUGUUGACUUAUAAUUUCCUUUUGGUGCAGUAGCUUAUAGGGUUGGU
This 387-nucleotide ribosomal RNA is filed under the name Oerstedia dorsalis. RNAcentral's name for it is "partial 16S ribosomal RNA". It matches the Rfam family "Bacterial large subunit ribosomal RNA", at positions 1845 to 2576 of the family's 2925-position model. Lineage: Eukaryota; Metazoa; Nemertea; Enopla; Monostilifera; Oerstediidae. The record is from RNAcentral.